Molecule: ribosomal RNA, 505 nt
Filed under: uncultured bacterium
Lineage: Bacteria
Description: partial 16S ribosomal RNA
Rfam family: Bacterial small subunit ribosomal RNA
Source: RNAcentral
GACGAACGCUGGCGGCGUGCCUAAUACAUGCAAGUAGAACGCACAGUUUAUACCGUAGCUUGCUACACCAUAGACUGUGAGUUGCGAACGGGUGAGUAACGCGUAGGUAACCUGCCUGGUAGCGGGGGAUAACUAUUGGAAACGAUAGCUAAUACCGCAUAAUAUUAAUUAUUGCAUGAUAAUUAAUUGAAAUGUGCAAUUGCACCACUACCAGAUGGACCUGCGUUGUAUUAGCUAGUAGGUGAGGUAACGGCUCACCUAGGCGACGAUACAUAGCCGACCUGAGAGGGUGAUCGGCCACACUGGGACUGAGACACGGCCCAGACUCCUACGGGAGGCAGCAGUAGGGAAUCUUCGGCAAUAGACGAAAGUCUGACCGAGCAACGCCGCGGGAGUGAAGAAGGUUUUCGGAUCGUAAAGCUCUGUUGUAAGAGAAGAACGGGGGUGAGAGUGGAAAGUUCACACUGUGACGGUAUCUUACCAGAAAGGGACGGCUAACUACGUG